Molecule: small RNA, 283 nt
Filed under: Oryza sativa Japonica Group (Japanese rice)
Lineage: Eukaryota; Viridiplantae; Streptophyta; Magnoliopsida; Poales; Poaceae
Description: sRNA Os04g0583332
Source: RNAcentral
AAUGGAGCAAAAAGGGACUAAGAAAAGAAAGACAGAUGGCUCAAGUUGAAGUUAGAAAGUAGUGAAGCAGAAAAUAGUUGUACUGAAUAUGAGAAGUUAUAUUCCUGCGUAGUGAACAAUUGUAAUAGUCGUUCAGAAUAGUUACAAUAUAUGAAGUUUGGUACUUUUUGUGAUGUGACCUUUCAAGUUGUUAUCUUACUGUAAUAGUUACAAUAUGGCGCAGAAAUUGUAUCUAUACAAAUCUACUAUAAACUGUUGAGCUAAAGUAAUCUUGGUUUUCAAA